RNAcentral lists this long non-coding RNA (860 nucleotides) under Homo sapiens (human). RNAcentral's name for it is "HSALNT0322619". Lineage: Eukaryota; Metazoa; Chordata; Mammalia; Primates; Hominidae. The record is from RNAcentral.
UCUGCCCCUCCGCCCCUCCGCCUGUCCGCCUCUCUCCUUCUCCCUUGUUCCCUCUCUCCCUCCCUGCUCCCCCACCUCCCUCCCGAGUCGUAGACUCCCUUCCCCCCGGCGCUGGGAGUCUCCUUCCCGCCCCGCCGCGCAGGUGCGGCGACGGCCGCGUCACUGGAGAGUGUGUCGAGUCACAGGCGGUCUUCCGCGCGGAGCGUCCCCGGCGGACGCUGCGCAGAUGGCUGCGACUGUAGGAUUCUUGCCGGCUAGUCUUCGUCGGUUCCGCCUGCGUCAGGUUACUCGUGAAAACUCGAAUAAGUGCUAUCGAUGUGAAAUCCGAGGAAAAGAGCAUUUGGGGGAAAAGGUCUUACUAUGUUUCCCAGGCUGGACUCUAACUCCUGGGCUCAAGUGGUCCUCCCACCUCAGCCUCCUGAGUAGCUGGGACUGUAGAUGCAUGCCGCCAUGACCUGCCAAAAUCAUAUUUUUGAAGGUUAUUUCCUUCCAAUCCCAUCCCAAAUGGAGGUUGCAGCAGGGUAGAGUUUUUGGACAAUCUUGUUUACUGCUGCAUCCCCAGUGUCAAGAAGGCUGCCUGAACAUAGAAAGUCUUCAAUAUAUAUUUGCUGAAAUAAAAGUAAAAAUUCAGUCUGGUGUCUCCAUAAUCACAGCCAUGGCCUUGUAAACAGGUAGUGAUGCGGACAGAGCCAUCUGUGCUGCGCUGCAGACCCACACAGAGGUCUACUGGAAGGGAGGAGCCCGAGGCGAGUCCACUGAAUGUGGGCACUUCCCAUUUUGGAUGCUGCAGAGAGUCUCCAGCAGCAAGAAGGCAAUCACAAGAUGCAGCCUCACAGCCUUGGACUUACCAGCCUCCAAAA